Triticum aestivum (bread wheat) is the source of this 2874-nucleotide long non-coding RNA. RefSeq lists it as uncharacterized. The transcript has 2 exons. NCBI's taxonomy places the organism in Eukaryota, Viridiplantae, Streptophyta, Magnoliopsida, Poales, Poaceae. The record is from RefSeq and is a predicted model, not a curated record.
GGGCGCAGGGUGAGGGAGGCAGUCGCCGGCGGUGGCGCCGCUCUGCCGCUGCAUCUCUCUUCCCCCACGUCCCUACUGCUGCUCCUCUAACUCCAUCUCUCUGCUGUCGAUUCUCUGCCCGCUGCUACCUCUCCUCUCUGCUCCUUGCUGCCUGUGACUGUCCCAUCUCUCCUAGCGCUGCUGCUGCUGCUGCAUUUCUUCUGAAGCUCUUCUCAAACCCGUUGAUGCAGUUCUUCUCUGAACUCCAACAUGUUGCUGCUUCUCUCUCUCUCUCUCUCUCUCUCUCUCUCUAUUUUUCUGUAAUUUUGUGAACCACAAACCAUUUUUGUGCCAUUAUAUGAUUUGUGGUAUUUGCUUGAGUGAACCUGUAAGGUUUGUACCUUCUGGAAAGUGCUAGCACCUACAUAUUAUCCAAUUUUUUCUAAAUGUCAUGAGGCAUGAGCCACAAUAUUUCUCAAGAACGACCGUUGGUAUAUAUAAGGCAUGCAUACAAUUUUAAUAACACUCUUUUUGCUCUCAUUUAUCUGUUGGCAUAGAGCAUCGUAUAAUAUAGAAGAGUCAUUCAAACAUAGCUCUUUGAAUAUCGGACAAAAUAUUGGUUGCCUGAUUUAUUUAUAAGAAGAUUCUUCUAUGUAUUUAGUUACAUGAUUUUAAUUUGAUCGUCUUCUUUCAACUUUUUUUUGCCAAGUAUGAUAUUUCCUUAGGUUCACCUUGACCUUCACUGCUCUUGUGUAAGAGCUUAAGUAAAUUGAUGUUGUAUCAUCAGAAUCUGUAGCCUUGCAUAGUUUUUUUUUUGUCUGUACAUACACUUUAAUUUCUUGCUCGCACUGAAAUCCCUCUUUGUCACAGGAUGAAUCAGAAACUGAAGAUGAUGAUCCCAUGGAUACAGAAGAAGCUUCCUCUGUCCCAUCGCUGCACUGCAGUCUUUCAGCCAAGCUCUGGUGAACUUUGAAAUCCAGUUUAGAGAAUUGCUCAUGACUUGACAGAAAUCAUUCUUAUGAGCACAUCGUUUGAUUCUAUUACUAGGUCAGUCAACUUGAACUACCAUGUGGAAGUGGAACUAUUGUUGUCUGUCAGUUAAGACAGUCGGGAACUUGGUGUUGUCAUUCCUGGCUAUUGUAUUAGGAUACUAGCAGCACUUACAUGCAGAUAUGCUUGUGAUUCUAAAGAUAGUACACAAGGUGAUUGAUGUGUGGGUCGCUCAAGUCCUGUGGGGUGCUGGGCUAAAGGUGUUCCAUAUACAUGAACCAUAAACUGGAAUUGAAAUUAUUCUCCGCACACACAAGUAAAACCUAUGCAAAGUGAACAAUCUCACAGUUGCAGCUUAUAUUCAGUACUUCUUCAUUACAAAUGUCGAUUUCAAAGCAUUUUCUUUCUCUAAUUCUGCAACUUUAUAAACUGCAGCUCAGUUUUGCUCACAAAUGUUUUGCUCCUCAUAAAACUAAUUUUCUACUAACUGAUUUCCGUAUUUCCAUUAUAGUUUAUUCAUUACCAUGUUCAAGGAAUUAUCAGCGUUUUUUCUGACUUGGUCAACUUACCCUUGCAGUAAUUUAGCAGUUGAGAUCAAGAUGCUACUCCAAUCUAUAUAUGAAACCAAAUCAGGUGGGCUUGAUGACAAAGAGGUAAUAAGAGAUGAACUCUUCCAGUAUAAAAAGUUGAUGGUCCUAAUUAGUUUAUAGCUUAUUCCUUGAUCACUUUAAUUUACACGACGUCUCCAGGGCCUUUUGUGUUCUUUGGUAAUAUAUUUGAUUAUAGUCACAGCUUACGCAAGAUGAUUAUUUACGUUCCUAAUUUAUCUUCCUCUAUCAUGGUGGUAGGGAAACAUCGCCGUUAGUUUGCCUGAGAUAGAAGGACUUCACAUAAUUUUGUCAAUAGCAUUGAUCAGGACUUUUUUCUUAUUCUUUUCUAUUUGUAGACAAGGAAGAACCAUAGAGAAUCUCGAUCCUUACACUAUAGCAGUACCUGAAGCAGAGCAAACCGCUGUCUCAAAUUUAAUAGUAGAUGGAAAGGAAUGGUUGUUUUUGUUGCAGGUUACUCCAAGAACAAGUGCAUUGUCAAGCUAGAUGUUUUAUAUUAUCCGUCCAUAAUCUGGAUGCUUGUGUAUCCUGCGACUUGGUUCAUCCAGGAGGUAUUUGUGUUCAAACACAAGUGUGGGCUGCUUGCAGGGUAGAGCAUAAUUGGAUUUUAAAGCCAUUUAUAAUGUCCUGCAAAACUAUAAGUUUGAACAAAGGUACAUUAAGUUGUGUCACUCACAUGGACAGUGUUGCCAUCUAUAAUGCCUUACAAGUCUGAGCUCCAUCAUGAUAAUCUGAUUAGUGUGUCGCAAGUCUGCUAUUUCUAACUGUACAAAUUCUGCACUUAUUUAGCAUUUUACAUGAUGCGUAGAUUUUUCAGAACAGAAAUAAGUCAAUCCUUAUAACCUGAUUUUGCUAUAUUAUUUAGUUCGAAGUUACUUUGUAAAUCCCAGUUUCCCCAGUAUUGUAACUCUGUGUCAAAUUAAACUGAUAUUUCUCUUGUGAACAACUUCAAUUUGUAAUAUCAUGAUUUUCUUUUUCAGAAACCACUUCAACUAGCCUAGGGCUAUGUCUAUUAGUCCUCCAGUAUUUCUUGGAAUGAGAUAACACAUGUUUCUUCAAGUGUCUACACACUACAUGAAUUGUAGGGUUGUACUUUGCCACUCAUAUUGCAGUACUCAACUGUAGCAUGGAUGGAGCAGGAAAGUGUGCUAAACCUUCUAACAUGGACACUGCACUUGUACGAGCUACGGGCCACUAUUGUUUGUCAUAUGGAUUGUAGAUGUAGUGGUAAUGUACCACAUUUUUCAUGUAGUAAGGAUGAUACGUUAUACGGAGUAUAACAGUAUGGUUGCCGUGA